AGCGAACGCUGGCGGCAGGCUUAACACAUGCAAGUCGAACGAACUCUUCGGAGUUAGUGGCGGUCGGGUGAGUACCACGUGGGAACGUGCCCUUUGGUAAGGUAUACUUCAGGGAAACUUGUGCUAAUACCGAAUGUGCCCUUCGGGGGUAAGAUUUUUCGCUAUUAGAGCGGCCCGCGUCUGAUUCGCUAGUUGGUGAGGUAACGGCUCGCCAAGGCGACGAUCAGUAGCUGGUCUGAGAGGAUGACCAGCCACACUGGGACUGAGACACGGCCCAGACUCCUACGGAGGGCAGCAGUAGAGAGUCUUGCGCAAUGGACGAAAGCCUGGCGCAGCCAUGCCGCGUAAAUGAGGAAGGGCUUAGGAUUGUAAAAUUCUUUCUCCGGGGGCGAUAAUGACGGUACCCGGAGAAGAAGCCCCGGCUAACUUCGUG
RNAcentral lists this ribosomal RNA (433 nucleotides) under uncultured bacterium. RNAcentral describes it as "partial 16S ribosomal RNA". It matches the Rfam family "Bacterial small subunit ribosomal RNA", at positions 29 to 507 of the family's 1533-position model. The record is from RNAcentral.